RNAcentral lists this ribosomal RNA (393 nucleotides) under uncultured bacterium. RNAcentral describes it as "partial 16S ribosomal RNA". It matches the Rfam family "Bacterial small subunit ribosomal RNA", at positions 523 to 918 of the family's 1533-position model. The record is from RNAcentral.
AUACGGAGGAUCCAAGCGUUAUCCGGAUUUAUUGGGUUUAAAGGGAGCGUAGGUGGAUUGUUAAGUCAGUUGUGAAAGUUUGCGGCUCAACCGUAAAAUUGCAGUUGAAACUGGCAGUCUUGAGUACAGUAGCGGUGGGCGGAAUUCGUGGUGUAGCGGUGAAAUGCUUAGAUAUCACGAAGAACUCCGAUUGCGAAGGCAGCUCACUAGACUGUUACUGACACUGAUGCUCGAAAGUGUGGGUAUCAAACAGGAUUAGAUACCCUGGUAGUCCACACAGUAAACGAUGAAUACUCGCUGUUUGCGAUAUACAGUAAGCGGCCAAGCGAAAGCAUUAAGUAUUCCACCUGGGGAGUACGCCGGCAACGGUGAAACUCAAAGGAAUUGACGGGG